GGAAGAUCGUCGUCUCCGGUGAGGCGGCUGGACUUCAAAUCCAGUUGGGGGCAGGUUCGACUCCUGUGAUCUUCCGCCA
This 79-nucleotide transfer RNA is filed under the name Escherichia coli Nissle 1917. RNAcentral describes it as "tRNA-SeC (TCA) (tRNA-SeC-TCA-2-1)". It matches the Rfam family "Selenocysteine transfer RNA". The record is from RNAcentral. Lineage: Bacteria; Pseudomonadati; Pseudomonadota; Gammaproteobacteria; Enterobacterales; Enterobacteriaceae.